GGAUUAGAUACCCUGGUAGUCCAUGCCGUAAACGUUGGGCGCUAGGCGUGGGCCUCAUUCCACGAGGUCCGUGUCGAAGCUAACGCAUUAAGCGCCCCGCCUGGGGAGUACGGCCGCAAGGCUAAAACUCAAAGGAAUUGACGGGGGCCCGCACAAGCGGCGGAGCAUGCUGAUUAAUUCGAUGCAACGCGAAGAACCUUACCAAGGCUUGACAUGCACCGGACAGCCCCAGAGAUGGGGUCUUCUUCGGACUGGUGCACAGGUGGUGCAUGGUUGUCGUCAGCUCGUGCCG
RNAcentral lists this ribosomal RNA (292 nucleotides) under uncultured bacterium. RNAcentral describes it as "partial 16S ribosomal RNA". It matches the Rfam family "Bacterial small subunit ribosomal RNA", at positions 775 to 1067 of the family's 1533-position model. The record is from RNAcentral.